Molecule: ribosomal RNA, 446 nt
Filed under: uncultured bacterium
Lineage: Bacteria
Description: bacterial SSU rRNA
Rfam family: Bacterial small subunit ribosomal RNA
Source: RNAcentral
GACCAGACUCCUACGGGAGGCAGCAGUGGGGAAUAUUGCACAAUGGGGGAAACCCUGAUGCAGCAACGCCGCGUGAGUGAAGAAGUAUUUCGGUAUGUAAAGCUCUAUCAGCAGGGAAGAGAAUGACGGUACCUGACUAAGAAGCCCCGGCUAACUACGUGCCAGCAGCCGCGGUAAUACGUAGGGGGCAAGCGUUAUCCGGAUUUACUGGGUGUAAAGGGAGCGUAGACGGCUGGCCAAGUCUGAAGUGAAAGCCCGGGGCUUAACCCCGGAACGGCUUUGGAAACUGGCCGGCUGGAGUGCUGGAGAGGCAGGCGGAAUUCCUGGUGUAGCGGUGAAAUGCGUAGAUAUCAGGAGGAACACCGGUGGCGAAGGCGGCCUGCUGGACAGUAACUGACGUUGAGGCUCGAAAGCGUGGGGAGCAUACAGGAUUAGAUACCCCUGUA